CGGGUGAGUAACGCGUAGGUAAUCUACCCCAGAGUCUGGAAUAACCUGCCGAAAGGCGGGCUAAUACUGGAUAGAGCGACGGAAUCCGUAAUUGGGUUUUUCGGGAAAGGGAGGAAGCAAUUCCCUUCGCUCUGGGAUGAGCCUGCGUCUCAUUAGCUAGUUGGUGGGGUAAAGGCCCACCAAGGCAUUGAUGAGUAGCUGGUCUGAGAGGAUGAUCAGCCACACUGGAACUGAAACACGGUCCAGACUCC
Molecule: ribosomal RNA, 251 nt
Filed under: uncultured bacterium
Lineage: Bacteria
Description: partial 16S ribosomal RNA
Rfam family: Bacterial small subunit ribosomal RNA
Source: RNAcentral